RNAcentral lists this ribosomal RNA (253 nucleotides) under uncultured bacterium. RNAcentral describes it as "partial 16S ribosomal RNA". It matches the Rfam family "Bacterial small subunit ribosomal RNA", at positions 524 to 776 of the family's 1533-position model. The record is from RNAcentral.
UACGAAGGGUGCGAGCGUUAAUCGGAAUUACUGGGCGUAAAGUGUGCGCAGGCGGCCGAGCAAGUCGAGUGUGAAAGCCCCGGGCUUAACUUGGGAAUUGCGCUCGAAACUACUUUGCUGGAGUGUGGCAGAGGAAGGUGGAAUUCCACGUGUAGCGGUGAAAUGCGUAGAGAUGUGGAGGAACACCAAUGGCGAAGGCAGCCUUCUGGGCCAACACUGACGCUCAUGCACGAAAGCGUGGGGAGCAAACAGG